CCGAUUUUCUGAUCGCCUUGAUAUCUGCAAAAGGGACUUUUUAAGAACGUUAAUUAUAAUUCUAACGAAAAAUCGUAGCUUCUUUAUCAUUGUAUGUAACAGAUUAUCUACAAACUAAAUUCAAUCAGCGUACAGGAGGUUCAUGUCUAUCCUGUUACCGCUACUUAAAUCAGUCGUUAAAUUAUUCUCCCUAUGAAUAUUGAAUCAGUCAGUGUUGAUUUCAAAAAUGCAAAGUAAACUUUACAUUUAAAACG
Molecule: long non-coding RNA, 254 nt
Filed under: Mytilus galloprovincialis (Mediterranean mussel)
Lineage: Eukaryota; Metazoa; Mollusca; Bivalvia; Mytilida; Mytilidae
Source: RNAcentral